AUGCGGUUUAGUUCGGUUCGGUUUACAAAAUACAAACCGCAAACCAAACCAAACCACGCAAUUCCAUUAGAAAAUGAUCCAAACACAUCCGAACCAAAUACAGUUUUUUGCGGUUUCGAUUUAGUUCGGUUCGGUUUUACGGUUUUUUGUUGGGCCGGUUUGGUUUUGAACACCCCUACGUACAUGUAUAUAUUUAAAUAUAAAUUAAGCAUAUUUUUUAUACAUGAAAAAAAAAAAAAGCUUACAUCACAUAUAUUGCUUUAUUUGAAGUAUUAUAUAUUUUGUUUCCAAAGGUAA
This is a non-coding RNA of Vicia faba (fava bean), 297 nucleotides long. Lineage: Eukaryota; Viridiplantae; Streptophyta; Magnoliopsida; Fabales; Fabaceae. The record is from the annotation of a GenBank genome assembly.